GAUAUGCGAUAAGUAAUGUGAAUUGCAGAAUUCAGUGUAUCAUCGAAUCUUUGAACGCACCUUGCGCUCGUUGGUAUUCCGAGGAGCCUGCAUGUUUGACUGGCAUUAAAUUCUCAACCUCACCAAUUUUUGUAAUGAAAGUUGUGAGCAGGCUUGGAUGUGGGGGUUUGCAGGUCCGCCUUUUGGUGGUCUGCUCCUCAGAAAUGCAUUAGUGGGUUGUGCCCCUAAUCUAUUGGUGUGAUAAUUAUCUACGCCGUGGAUCAGGUUGGCUACUAUAGACCUGCUUCUAACCGUCCGUCUUGGUCAACUUUGACAUUUUUAACCUCAAAUUAGGUAAGACUACCCGCUGACCUUAA
This 356-nucleotide unclassified non-coding RNA is filed under the name uncultured Coprinopsis. RNAcentral's name for it is "sequence contains ITS1". The stretch from base 1 to 105 matches the Rfam family "5.8S ribosomal RNA", at positions 50 to 154 of the family's 154-position model. Lineage: Eukaryota; Fungi; Basidiomycota; Agaricomycetes; Agaricales; Psathyrellaceae. The record is from RNAcentral.